Molecule: ribosomal RNA, 119 nt
Filed under: Pteropus alecto (black flying fox)
Lineage: Eukaryota; Metazoa; Chordata; Mammalia; Chiroptera; Pteropodidae
Source: RNAcentral
GUCUACAGCCAUGCUACCCUGAACAAGCCCGAUCUUGUCUGAUCUUGGAAGCUAAGCAGGGUCGGGUCUGGUUAGAACUUAGAUGGGAGACCACCUAAGAAGACCAGGUGCUAUAGGCG